CGGCGAAAGCCGGAUUAAUAUCCCAUACGCUCUACGGAGGAAAAGGUGGGAUCUUAGGCCCUCCCGCUACAGGGGCGGCCGAUGGCAGAUUAGCUAGUUGGUGGGGUAAAGGCCUACCAAGGCGACGAUCUGUAGCUGGUCUGAGAGGACGACCAGCCACACUGGGACUGAGACACGGCCCAGACCCCUACGGGAGGCAGCAGUGGGGAAUUUUGGACAAUGGGGGCAACCCUGACCCAGCAAUGCCGCGUGUGUGAAGAAGGCCHMCGGGUUGUAAAGCACUUHUGUCCGGAAAGAAAUCCUCUGGGUUAAUACCCCGGGGGGAUGACGGUACCGGAAGAAUAAGCACCGGCUAACUACGUGCCAGCAGCCGCGGUAAUACGUAGGGUGCAAGCGUUAAUCGGAAUUACUGGGCGUAAAGCGUGCGCAGGCGGUCCGCUAAGACAGAUGUGAAAUCCCCGGGCUUAACCUGGGAACUGCAUUUGUGACUGGCGGGCUAGAGUAUGGCAGAGGGGGGUAGAAUUCCACGUGUAGCAGUGAAAUGCGUAGAGAUGUGGAGGAAUACCGAUGGCGAAGGCAGCCCCCUGGGCCAAUACUGACGCUCAUGCACGAAAGCGGUGGGGAGCAAACAGGAUMUAGAUACCCVUGGUAGUCCACGGCCCAUAAACAGAUGUCAACAUAGUUGUCAGGGUCUYVAUUGACUUGGUAACA
RNAcentral lists this ribosomal RNA (711 nucleotides) under Paraburkholderia phenazinium. RNAcentral's name for it is "bacterial SSU rRNA". It matches the Rfam family "Bacterial small subunit ribosomal RNA", at positions 149 to 848 of the family's 1533-position model. The record is from RNAcentral. Lineage: Bacteria; Pseudomonadati; Pseudomonadota; Betaproteobacteria; Burkholderiales; Burkholderiaceae.